UGGGGUGACUGCGUACCUUUUGUAUAAUGGGUCAGCGACUUAUAUUCUGUAGCAAGGUUAACCGAAUAGGGGAGCCGGAGGGAAACCGAGUCUUAACCGGGCGUUAAGUUGCAGGGUAUAGACCCGAAACCCGGUGAUCUAGCCAUGGGCAGGUUGAAGGUUGGGUAACACUAACUGGAGGACCGAACCGACUAAUGUUGAAAAAUUAGCGGAUGACCUGUGGCUGGGGGUGAAAGGCCAAUCAAACCGGGAGAUAGCUGGUUCUCCCCGAAAGCUAUUUAGGUAGCGCCUCGUGAAUUCAUCUCCGGGGGUAGAGCACUGUUUCGGCCAGGGGGCCAUCCCGGCUUACCAACCCGAUGCAAACUGCGAAUACCGGAGAAUGUUAUCACGGGAGACACACGGCGGGUGCUAACGUCCGUCGUGAAGAGGGAAACAACCCAGACCGCCAGCUAAGGUCCCAAAGUCAUGGUUAAGUGGGAAACGAUGUGGGAAGGCCCAGACAGCCAGGAUGUUGGCUUAGAAGCAGCCAUCAUUUAAAGAAAGCGUAAUAGCUCACUGGUCGAGUCGGCCUGCGCGGAAGAUGUAACGGGGCUAAACCAUGCACCGAAGCUGCGGCAGCGACACUAAGUGUUGUUGGGUAGGGGAGCGUUCUGUAAGCCUGCGAAGGUGUGUCGUGAGGCAUGCUGGAGGUAUCAGAAGUGCGAAUGCUGACAUAAGUAACGAUAAUGCGGGUGAAAAACCCGCACGCCGGAAGACCAAGGGUUCCUGUCCAACGUUAAUCGGGGCAGGGUGAGUCGACCCCUAAGGCGAGGCCGAAAGGCGUAGUCGAUGGGAAACGGGUUAAUAUUCCCGUACCUGGUGUUACUGCGAAGGGGGGACGGAGAAGGCUAUGUUGGCCGGGCGACGGUUGUCCCGGUUUAAGCGUGCAGGCUGGUUUUCCAGGCAAAUCCGGAAAAUCAAGGCUGAGGCGUGAUGACGAGGCACUACGGUGCUGAAGCAACAAAUGCCCUGCUUCCAGGAAAAGCCUCUAAGCCUCAGGUAACAUCAGAUCGUACCCGAAACCGACACAGGUGGUCAGGUAGAGAAUACCAAGGCGCUUGAGAGAACCCGGGUGAAGGAACUAGGCAAAAUGGUGCCGUAACUUCGGGAGAAGGCACGCUGACACGUAGGUGAAGCGGUUUACCCGUGGAGCUGAAGUCAGUCGAAGAUACCAGCUGGCUGCAACUGUUUAUUAAAAACACAGCACUGUGCAAACACGAAAGUGGACGUAUACGGUGUGACGCCUGCCCGGUGCCGGAAGGUUAAUUGAUGGGGUCAGCGCAAGCGAAGCUCCUGAUCGAAGCCCCGGUAAACGGCGGCCGUAACUAUAACGGUCCUAAGGUAGCGAAAUUCCUUGUCGGGUAAGUUCCGACCUGCACGAAUGGCGUAAUGAUGGCCAGGCUGUCUCCACCCGGGACUCAGUGAAAUUGAACUCGCUGUGAAGAUGCAGUGUACCCGCGGCAAGACGGAAAGACCCCGUGAACCUUUACUAUAGCUUGACACUGAACA
RNAcentral lists this ribosomal RNA (1548 nucleotides) under Salmonella enterica. RNAcentral describes it as "bacterial LSU rRNA". It matches the Rfam family "Bacterial large subunit ribosomal RNA", at positions 589 to 2123 of the family's 2925-position model. The record is from RNAcentral. Lineage: Bacteria; Pseudomonadati; Pseudomonadota; Gammaproteobacteria; Enterobacterales; Enterobacteriaceae.